This 257-nucleotide ribosomal RNA is filed under the name uncultured bacterium. RNAcentral's name for it is "partial 16S ribosomal RNA". It matches the Rfam family "Bacterial small subunit ribosomal RNA", at positions 524 to 776 of the family's 1533-position model. The record is from RNAcentral.
UACGUAGGGGGGCUAGCGUUGUCCGGAAUCAUUGGGCGUAAAGAGCUCGUAGGUGGUUCGGUAAGUCGGAUGUGAAAUCUCCAGGCUCAACCUGGAGGGGUCAUUCGAUACUGCCGUGACUAGAGGUCGGUAGGGGAGUGUGGAAUUCCUGGUGGAGCGGUGAAAAUGCGCAGAUAUCAGGAGGAACACCCGUAGCGAAGGCGGCACUCUGGGCCGAUACUGACACUGAGGAGCGAAAAGCGUGGGGAGCGAACAGG